AAGUCAGCCCACGAGGCAUGAUCCACCCUCCAGCCCGCAGGAACAAUCCCCUGACCUUACUCAACCUUGUAUCGCUGCCCUUGCCCAUCACACACCCGAGUGCCGGUCCCCACUGCGGCAAGCUGGCGAUUCUUGCAAUCCUCCGCGAGUCCACGUCCUUCGCAAUUAAUUCGUCGCCGCCACUCGCUAGGACAUCAGGGCUAGCCCCCGACGGUCAGUGCUCCGACGGCCCCGCGCUCUCAUCAGUCAUCAGGUCGUGGCCUCAACAAGCUACAGCUCUAUGUACCAAUGGUUAAAGAGAAACACAUUUAUUCGUUUUUCAAAAGGAAAAGAGAUGAGCCAAUUGUGGAUCAGCCUUUGCCUCCUGCCUCAUUAAUUGAAUUAGAACAAAGGCAAGAUGAAGAGCAAGCAGAUGAACAAAGGCAAGAUCAACGCGAACCUGUUAUAUUUCAGGGUAUUGAAUUCCUACAGCGAGAUCCAGCAUUAUGGCCACAAAUUUGGGAGUAUCCAAGUAACCAGCAAGAUGAAGUACGACGGGCAUAUUUGAAGUUAGGUCCAAUGCAGCCCAAACUGAAUAAAUAUAAGGGUUGGGGACCAAAAGGGCAUAAACGCCAUUUUCAAUACAUUUGGUUCAGUUAAUAUCCAUCUUGGUUGGAGUACUCAGAGAGUAGUGGUCGUGCAUAUUGUCUUCUUUGCUUUGUGUCCAGCAAAAAUUUAAAGAGAAGAGAAGUGGUUUUGAUGUCUUCACAGCAUAAUGUUUCAACAACUAUAAGAAAGUUCAUGAUGGCAAAAAAUGUGGAUUCUUGGUUCAUAUAGGAUCUGAUCCUUGCUCAGCACACAACAAUGCAGUGACAGAAUGUCAUAAUCUGCUGAAUCAACCGAAUCAUAUAGUUAACAUUGUGGAAGUGGCAAGUGAUCGGGACAAAGAAAGAAACUGUCUACGGCUGAGAACAUCACUUGCAGCUGUAAGGUGGAUAACAUUUCAAUCUUGUUCUUUUAGAGGCCAUGAUGAGACACCUCAGUCAAGGAACAUAGGAAACUUUAUUGAAAUGUUAAAACUUCUUUCUGAAUUUAAUUCGGAAAUUGCAAGUGUUGUGUUAGAAAAUGCUCCACAAGUUGCUAAGUACACAUCACCAGAUAUUCAGAAGGAAAUCUUGAGUAUUUUUGCUAUGAAAGUCAGGAAGCAUAUCCGUGAGGAAAUUGGGGAUGCAAAGUUCUCUAUUCUUGUGGACAAAACAUGUGAUGUUGCAAUUUUUUUUUCAGAAAUUGGUCUUUAUUGUAAACACAGUUGACUCAUCAUCAAAGCGUCAUGAUGAGCUCCAUGAUGCCCAAAUGGAUGAACUUGCACGCUCGCUAGCUGUUGAUGACCUUGAGAUAGGACAAGGAGCAAAUCAAAUAUGCUCUUUGAAACGUCCAGGAGAGACUAGGUGGGGUUCACACUUCGGUUCUGUUGCUAGUCUUAUGGAUGUGCUCAAAUCCUGUAAGUUGAGUUCUACAAAAUUUAGCUGCCGAUUCAUCAACUGGAGCAAACCGUGCCAAUGGAGAUACUGCUUUCAACAACCUGAUAUCUUUUGAGUUUGUAUUUAUCCUACUGAUGAUGAGAGAAAUAAUGGAGAUCACAGAACAACUAGGUCAAGCUUUACAAAAGAAAAUACAGGACAUAGUAAUAAAUGACAUUCGUCUUGUGCAAUCCACAAAAGUUCUACUUGAACAAAUGAGAUUAGAUGAUGGCUGGGAAACUUUUAUUUGUAAGGUUGUUGAGUUCUGUGUGGGUCAUGGAGUCGACAUUCCAAACAUGGAAGGAACUUACAUUAUGCAUGGUGAUCGAGCUCGCCGUCAACCAGAUCAUUUUACCAAUGAACGCUAUUUUCGAGUGGAGAUAUUUCGGGCAACAAUUGACACUCUGUUGGCUGAAUUAAACCUGAAGUUCAAUGAGAAGGUGCUGGGUCUUUUGUCCAUCAGUGUUACAUUGAUACCAAAAAUAGAUUUGCAUCUUUCAGUGCUAUGCAAAAUGGUUGAGAAGUACUACCCGGCAGAUUUCAACCAACAAGAAAGGCUUAGAUUAGAGAAUCAGAUGAACAAUUUUAUUGUUGAUGUUUCAAACAGUGAAUUGUUGAAAAAUAUUGCAACCAUUGCUGAGCUAUGUCGAUGCCUUGUUGAGACAGGACGCCAUAAUACUUUUACCAUGAUUGAUCGAUUGCUUCGGUUGCU
This is a long non-coding RNA of Setaria italica (foxtail millet), 2211 nucleotides long. RefSeq lists it as uncharacterized. The record is from RefSeq and is a predicted model, not a curated record. Lineage: Eukaryota; Viridiplantae; Streptophyta; Magnoliopsida; Poales; Poaceae. The transcript is spliced from 2 exons.